This 27-nucleotide small RNA is filed under the name Bombyx mori (domestic silkworm). RNAcentral describes it as "ovarian small RNA-4248". Lineage: Eukaryota; Metazoa; Arthropoda; Insecta; Lepidoptera; Bombycidae. The record is from RNAcentral.
AACUAGUACAGCGCGGGGGGGUCAAAC